This 73-nucleotide transfer RNA is filed under the name Leptographium procerum. Its description in RNAcentral is "tRNA-Arg". It matches the Rfam family "tRNA". Rfam says of the family: Transfer RNA (tRNA) molecules are approximately 80 nucleotides in length. Their secondary structure includes four short double-helical elements and three loops (D, anti-codon, and T loops). Further hydrogen bonds mediate the characteristic L-shaped molecular structure. tRNAs have two regions of fundamental functional importance: the anti-codon, which is responsible for specific mRNA codon recognition, and the 3' end, to which the tRNAs corresponding amino acid is attached (by aminoacyl-tRNA synthetases). tRNAs cope with the degeneracy of the genetic code in two manners: having more than one tRNA (with a specific anti-codon) for a particular amino acid; and 'wobble' base-pairing, i.e. permitting non-standard base-pairing at the 3rd anti-codon position. Lineage: Eukaryota; Fungi; Ascomycota; Sordariomycetes; Ophiostomatales; Ophiostomataceae. The record is from RNAcentral.
GGUGUGUUAGCUUAAUUGGUUAAGCAUGGUAGUACGGUUGCCGAGAUUAUGAGUUCGAGUCUCGUACACAUCU